AGUGAACGCUGGCGGUAGGCCUAACACAUGCAAGUCGAACGGCAGCACAGUAAGAGCUUGCUCUUACGGGUGGCGAGUGGCGGACGGGUGAGGAAUACAUCGGAAUCUACUUUUUCGGGGGGGAUAACGUAGGGAAACUUACGCUAAUACCGCAUACGACCUACGGGUGAAAGCAGGGGAUCUUCGGACCUUGCGCGAUUGAAUGCGCGGAUGUCGGAUUAGUUAGUUGGCGGGGUAAAGGCCCACCAAGGCGACGAUCGGUAGCUGGUCUGAGAGGAUGAUCGGCCACACUGGAACUGAGACACGGUCCAGGCUCCUACGGGAGGCCGCAGUGGGCAAUAUUGGACAAUGGGCGCAAGCCUGAUCCAGCCAUACCGCGUGGGUGAAGAAGGCCUUCGGGUUGUAAAGCCCUUUUGUUGGGAAAGAAAAGCAGCAGGUUAAUACCCCGCUGUUCUGACGGUACCCAAAGAAUAAGCACCGGCUAACUUCGUG
Molecule: ribosomal RNA, 492 nt
Filed under: uncultured bacterium
Lineage: Bacteria
Description: partial 16S ribosomal RNA
Rfam family: Bacterial small subunit ribosomal RNA
Source: RNAcentral